UACGUAGGGACCAAGCGUUGUUCGGAUUUACUGGGCGUAAAGGGUGCGUAGGCGGCGCGGUAAGUCACUUGUGAAAUCUCUGAGCUUAACUCAGAACGGCCAAGUGAUACUGCAGUGCUAGAGUGUGGAAGGGGCAAUCGGAAUUCUUGGUGUAGCGGUGAAAUGCGUAGAUAUCAAGAGGAAAACCUGAGGUGAAGACGGGUUGCUGGGCCGACACUGACGCUGACAGCGCGAAAGCCAGGGGAGCAAACGGG
Molecule: ribosomal RNA, 254 nt
Filed under: uncultured bacterium
Lineage: Bacteria
Description: partial 16S ribosomal RNA
Rfam family: Bacterial small subunit ribosomal RNA
Source: RNAcentral